CCUACGGGAGGCAGCAGUGAGGAAUAUUGGUCAAUGGGCGCGAGCCUGAACCAGCCAAGUAGCGUGAAGGAUGACUGCCCUACGGGUUGUAAACUUCUUUUAUAAAGGAAUAAAGUGAGGCACGUGUCCCUUUUUGUAUGUACUUUAUGAAUAAGGAUCGGCUAACUCCGUGCCAUCAGCCGCGGUAAUACGGAGGAUCCGAGCGUUAUCCGGAUUUAUUGGGUUUAAAGGGAGCGUAGAUGGGUUGUUAAGUCAGUUGUGAAAGUUUGCGGCUCAACCGUAAAAUUGCAAUUGAUACUGGCAGUCUUGAGUACAGUUGAGGUAGGCGGAAUUCGUGGUGUGGCGGUGAAAUGCUUAGAUAUCACGAAGAACUCCGAUUGCGAAGGCAGCUUACUAAACUGCCACUGACAUUGAUGCUCGAAAGUGUGGGUAUCAAACAGGAUUAGAUACCCGAGUAGUC
This 460-nucleotide ribosomal RNA is filed under the name uncultured bacterium. RNAcentral describes it as "partial 16S ribosomal RNA". It matches the Rfam family "Bacterial small subunit ribosomal RNA", at positions 338 to 795 of the family's 1533-position model. The record is from RNAcentral.